RNAcentral lists this ribosomal RNA (465 nucleotides) under uncultured bacterium. RNAcentral's name for it is "partial 16S ribosomal RNA". It matches the Rfam family "Bacterial small subunit ribosomal RNA", at positions 28 to 507 of the family's 1533-position model. The record is from RNAcentral.
GACGAACGCUGGCGGCGUGCUUAACACAUGCAAGUCGAACGGAAAGGCCCUGCUUGCUUGGUACUCCAGUGGCGAACGGGCGAGCGAGACAUGGGUGAUCUGCCCUCCACUCUUUGAUAAGCCUGGAAAACUGGGUAUAUUACCCGAUAGCAGCCAUGCUUAGUCUGAUGGUUGGAAAGUUUGUUUGGUGUUGGAGGAGCUCACGGCCGAUCGGCUGGUUGGUUGGGUGGUGGGCUACCAAGGCGGCGACGGGUAGCCGGCCUGGGAGGGUGGACGGCCACACUGGGCAUGCGGUGACGGCCAGGAUCCUACGGGAGGCAACAGUGGGGAAUAAUGGCCAAAGGGCGCCAAGCUGGUGGAGGGACGCCGGGUGGGGGAUGACGGCCCUGCGGUUGUAAACUCGUUUCGGGAGGGACGGAGCCUUUUGUGACGGUACCGAGAGAAGAAGCACCGGCUAACUACGUG